UACGAAGGGGGCUAGCGUUGUUCGGAUUUACUGGGCGUAAAGCGCACGUAGGCGGAUCGUUAAGUCGGGGGUGAAAUCCUGGAGCUCAACUCCAGAACUGCCUUCGAUACUGGCGAUCUAGAGUCCGGAAGAGGUGAGUGGAACUCCUAGUGUAGAGGUGGAAUUCGUAGAUAUUAGGAAGAACACCAGUGGCGAAGGCGACUCACUGGUCCGGUACUGACGCUGAGGUGCGAAAGCGUGGGGAGCAAAC
RNAcentral lists this ribosomal RNA (250 nucleotides) under uncultured bacterium. Its description in RNAcentral is "partial 16S ribosomal RNA". It matches the Rfam family "Bacterial small subunit ribosomal RNA", at positions 524 to 773 of the family's 1533-position model. The record is from RNAcentral.